This 84-nucleotide transfer RNA is filed under the name Fidelibacterota bacterium. RNAcentral describes it as "tRNA-Leu". It matches the Rfam family "tRNA". Rfam says of the family: Transfer RNA (tRNA) molecules are approximately 80 nucleotides in length. Their secondary structure includes four short double-helical elements and three loops (D, anti-codon, and T loops). The record is from RNAcentral. Lineage: Bacteria; Pseudomonadati; Fidelibacterota.
GCUGAAGUGGUGGAAUCGGUAGACACGCUGUCUUGAGGGGGCAGUGAGGGAAACCUUGUGUGGGUUCAAAUCCCACCUUCAGCA